GACGAACGCUGGCGGCGUGCUUAACACAUGCAAGUCGAACGAAGAGCGACGGAAGCUUGCUUCUAUCAAUCUUAGUGGCGCACGGGUGAGUAACGCGUAAUCAACCUGCCCUUCAGAGGGGGACAACAGUUGGAAACGACUGCUAAUACCGCAUACGAUCUAACCUCGGCAUCGAGGAUAGAUGAAAGGUGGCCUCUACAUGUAAGCUAUCACUGAAGGAGGGGAUUGCGUCUGAUUAGCUAGUUGGAGGGGUAACGGCCCACCAAGGCGAUGAUCAGUAGCCGGUCUGGAGAGAUGGACGGCCACAUUGGGAAUGAGACACGGCCCAGACUCCUACGGGAGGCAGCAGUGGGGAAUCUUCCGCAAUGGACGAAAGUCCGACGGAGCAACGCCGCGUGAGUGAUGACGGCCUUCGGGUUGUAAAGCUCUGUUAAUCGGGACGAAAGGCCUUCUUGCGAAUAGUGAGAAGGAUUGACGGUACCGGAAUAGAAAGCCACGGCUAACUACGUG
RNAcentral lists this ribosomal RNA (510 nucleotides) under uncultured bacterium. Its description in RNAcentral is "partial 16S ribosomal RNA". It matches the Rfam family "Bacterial small subunit ribosomal RNA", at positions 28 to 507 of the family's 1533-position model. The record is from RNAcentral.